CAGGUUCGAGAAGAAACCAGCCACGAUGAUCACCAAACUAAUAGUGAUCAACAGGUUGUGCGGGGUAAAGAUCUUAAGCCUGGAGUUCAUGCUGCCUCUACUGAUCAACCAUCCACUGAAUCUUCACUGCAGUUGCCGGAAAAACGCAUACUUGAGCUUAUCCUUGACAUAUUAC
Prunus dulcis (almond) is the source of this 175-nucleotide long non-coding RNA. RefSeq lists it as uncharacterized. Lineage: Eukaryota; Viridiplantae; Streptophyta; Magnoliopsida; Rosales; Rosaceae. The transcript is spliced from 3 exons. The record is from RefSeq and is a predicted model, not a curated record.